GGAUCAGUGGCGAACGGGUGAGUAACACGUGAGUAACUGCCCCAGACUCUGGGAUAAGCACUGGAAACGGUGUCUAAUACCGGAUACGAGCUUCAGUCGCAUGACUAGGAGCUGGAAAGAAUUUCGGUCUGGGAUGGACUCGCGGCCUAUCAGCUAGUUGGUGAGGUAAUGGCUCACCAAGGCGACGACGGGUAGCCGGCCUGAGAGGGUGACCGGCCACACUGGGACUGAGACACGGCCCAGACUCCUACGGGAGGCAGCAGCGGGGAAUAUUGCACAAUGGGCGCAAGCCUGAUGCAGCAACGCCGCGUGAGGGACGACGGCUCUUCGGGUUGUAAACCUCUUUUAGUAGGGAAGAAGCGAAAAGUGACGGUACCUGCAGAAAAAGCACCGGCUAACUACGUGCCAGCAGCCGCGGUGAUACGUAGGGUGCAAGCGUUAUCCGGAAUUAUUGGGCGUAAAGAGCUCGUAGGCGGUUUGUCGCGUCUACCGUGAAAACUGGAGGCUCAACCUCCAGCCUGCGGUGGGUACGGGCAGACUAGAGUGCGGUAGGGGAGAUUGGAAUUCCUGGUGUAGCGGUGGAAUGCGCAGAUAUCAGGAGGAACACCGAUGGCGAAGGCAGAUCUCUGGGCCGUAACUGACGCUGAGGAGCGAAAGCAUGGGGAGCGAACAGGAUUAGAUACCCUGGUAGUCCAUGCCGUAAACGUUGGGAACUAGAUGUAGGGACCAUUCCACGGUUUCUGUGUCGCAGCUAACGC
This 758-nucleotide ribosomal RNA is filed under the name uncultured bacterium. Its description in RNAcentral is "bacterial SSU rRNA". It matches the Rfam family "Bacterial small subunit ribosomal RNA", at positions 89 to 858 of the family's 1533-position model. The record is from RNAcentral.